This 253-nucleotide ribosomal RNA is filed under the name uncultured bacterium. RNAcentral's name for it is "partial 16S ribosomal RNA". It matches the Rfam family "Bacterial small subunit ribosomal RNA", at positions 524 to 776 of the family's 1533-position model. The record is from RNAcentral.
UACAGAGGUCUCAAGCGUUGUUCGGAUUCAUUGGGCGUAAAGGGUGUGUAGGUGGCGCGCUAAGUCGGGUGUGAAAUUUCGGAGCUUAACUCCGAAACUGCAUUUGAUACUGGUGUGCUUGAGGACUGGAGAGGAGACUGGAAUUCAUGGUGUAGCAGUGAAAUGCGUAGAGAUCAUGAGGAAGACCAGUGGCGAAGGCGGGUCUCUGGACAGUUCCUGACACUGAGGCACGAAGGCCAGGGGAGCAAACGGG